CUCUAACAAAAGUUCAAGAGAGUACACGUGUUCAAUGUGGGAACUUACUAUUCAUACAGAGGCAAAAUUAUAUUGUCAUUUUUAUACAUUAAAGUGCACAUUGUUGCCCAUAACUAUUCACAAAUUCUUAACAAAGUUGUGUGGCACACCUGGGGAAUAGGUGUUGGAACCAAUGCACCACCUGGUAGUCUGUGGUGGAAGCCCCCAACUUCCAAGCAAUAGUAUGGAAUAGGGAAUCCACAGGUUCAACAGAUCAGUUAGAAUUCUAACUGUUGAACCUAUAGAUUCUCAAUUGGAUACAAAAAUCACAAAUUCUUUUCAUUUACCAUUUAGUGAAGAAGUUGUUUGUGCAUUCUACAAAACUUUGGAAACUGGUCAGCCAUGUGGUUAACCC
Non-coding RNA from Pelobates cultripes (western spadefoot toad), 394 nucleotides. The record is from the annotation of a GenBank genome assembly. Lineage: Eukaryota; Metazoa; Chordata; Amphibia; Anura; Pelobatidae.